CCUACGGGAGGCAGCAGUGGGGAAUAUUGGACAAUGGGCGAAAGCCUGAUCCAGCAAUGCCGCGUGAGUGAUGAAGGCCUUCGGGUCGUAAAGCUCUUUUACCAGGGAUGAUAAUGACAGUACCUGGAGAAUAAGCUCCGGCUAACUCCGUGCCAGCAGCCGCGGUAAUACGGAGGGAGCUAGCGUUGUUCGGAAUUACUGGGCGUAAAGAGUACGUAGGCGGUUAUUCAAGUCAGAGGUGAAAGCCCGGGGCUCAACCCCGGAACUGCCUUUGAAACUAGAUAACUAGAGUCUUGGAGAGGUUAGUGGAAUUCCGAGUGUAGAGGUGAAAUUCGUAGAUAUUCGGAAGAACACCAGUGGNGAG
This 364-nucleotide ribosomal RNA is filed under the name uncultured bacterium. Its description in RNAcentral is "bacterial SSU rRNA". It matches the Rfam family "Bacterial small subunit ribosomal RNA", at positions 338 to 719 of the family's 1533-position model. The record is from RNAcentral.